AGAGACGCUUCUGCAAGUGUUUUUUUCCCACAGAGCUGCUUGUUGGGUUCAUGUGUUUUUUUUUUUGUAAUCAUUUCAUGUCUUGUCUCAAUAAGGUAAAAUAAGUAAAGAAACAGCAGUUAAUUGGCUGGUCUGAAAGCUCCUCCUUCAGUCUCUCCUCUGAUAAACAACAUGAAGGUUCAAGACUGACGACAACAUAAAGGAGAGACUUAAGGGAUUCUUGUUCUUUAGAUUUUCUGACUCACUUUCCAGUUAACCAUGGAGUCGACCGACAACUGGCUGUCUAUGGUGAAAAAAUUGUUAAAAACCAGUCCACUGGGAGCCACUGUAGGUUUUGGAUUUAUCCAGGUGAUACUGGAGAAACUGGUGGAAGCAGAGUUUUCAUGCCCUUGUCACUCUAGUUACAACCAUGGAUAUGGUUUAGUAUUUUUCAUUGCUCCAUCACUUAUAGUCUUUUUACUAAUGUGUGUCAUUAGUUAUUCGCUUAAGUUAUGGACAUGUCCGUGGACAUGGACAUGGACAUGUCCGUGGACAUGGACAUGUAAAUCAAUCUGGGAAGCCUUAAUUAUCAUGUUGGUUCCAGCCGUAACAUGGUUGAUAAUAGUGUUUGUUGAUGGUCGUUAUUACGCCUGUGCAAAGACCAACUGGAACGGAAAGUAUGAACUGAUUGAGAACGCUGCUCCUCAGAAAUGGUGUAAACCAUCAAACUCAUCUCUAGAGCGAGACUCACUGACCGACACCCAGUUCUGGUAUUCUGAAUCACAGCUCAUUGGAUUCUGCACAGCAGCUGGGCUGACCUUCAUUUAUGUGGGUUGUUUUUUCUGCUCCCGGUGCUGUUCAUCCUCACCAGAAAACAGAGGGAACCCAGUGCCUUUAGAAGAGGUCUAGAUGGAGCCCAAAAAUUCUUAAAAGAAAUUAAGAAAUGUAUGCAUGCAUUUAAUUAUUGAUUAAGAAUAACAUUCCUGGCAGGAGAAACAUUUAGUAUAUUUUACUACCUUUGAAAAAGGUUUUCUGUAUAAAUAUGUUUGUGUCACUUUCAUGUAAAAUGAUUUAUUAUUUCUUACUGUGCAACUCAAAAUUCCAGUUUUGUUUUGUAGAUAUCUUACUCAGAUGUGUUGAUAUAAAAAUACUAUUUUAAUCACAAUUCCUUUUACCUGAUAUCUCAUUAUGUACAGAUGGGAUUUUUGCAUUUCUUUUUUGAUUCUUACAACUUAGUUUUGGUUUAAUGUUUUUCAUCUUCUGAUUGAAUUAUCAUUAUUUAGACAUGACUGUUCGGUUUGUUGGCUACUAUAAAAUGUCAUCUUAGAUAUUUUUGACUAAAAUGUCUGACGUGUGUAAUGAAAGAUUAUUUGUAAUCAGGUUCAGGUUUUAACUUUCACAUCUAACCUUUUAAGCAUUUUAUAUAUUAUUCAAGUGUUUUAUGAUAAAUAACUAUUUGUUCAAUAACAAUGUGAGGACAGGAAAGUCUGUGAAUCCGGGUGGAGGGUCAGUUCCAGUAAGUAGUGGGUUAUUUUGUGCAUCAGCUCAGGAAAACAGACCUGCAGCUGAAGAGGUGAACAGAUUCUAGGGGAAAUGUUAUUGUGUGAUGAUUUGGGCAGAUAGUCUCUGUUGUUGGGGUAAAAUCUCUGAUCACUUCGGGUGUUUUGCUGUCAGAUGUUCUGAGAUGUGUGAUCCCAACAAUAUAUCUUUGUAUUCAAUAAAUAUGAUUAAUUUUA
Long non-coding RNA from Poecilia latipinna (sailfin molly), 1715 nucleotides. RefSeq lists it as uncharacterized. Lineage: Eukaryota; Metazoa; Chordata; Actinopteri; Cyprinodontiformes; Poeciliidae. The record is from RefSeq and is a predicted model, not a curated record. The transcript has 3 exons.